GGCAGGCCUAACACAUGCAAGUCGAGCGGAAACGACACUAACAAUCCUUCGGGUGCGUUAAUGGGCGUCGAGCGGCGGACGGGUGAGUAAUGCCUAGGAAAUUGCCUUGAUGUGGGGGAUAACCAUUGGAAACGAUGGCUAAUACCGCAUAAUGCCUACGGGCCAAAGAGGGGGACCUUCGGGCCUCUCGCGUCAAGAUAUGCCUAGGUGGGAUUAGCUAGUUGGUGAGGUAAUGGCUCACCAAGGCGACGAUCCCUAGCUGGUCUGAGAGGAUGAUCAGCCACACUGGAACUGAGACACGGUCCAGACUCCUACGGGAGGCAGCAGUGGGGAAUAUUGCACAAUGGGCGAAAGCCUGAUGCAGCCAUGCCGCGUGUAUGAAGAAGGCCUUCGGGUUGUAAAGUACUUUCAGUUGUGAGGAAGGGGGUAGCGUUAAUAGCGCUAUCUCUUGACGUUAGCAACAGAAGAAGCACCGGCUAACUCCGUGCCAGCAGCCGCGGUAAUACGGAGGGUGCGAGCGUUAAUCGGAAUUACUGGGCGUAAAGCGCAUGCAGGUGGUUCAUUAAGUCAGAUGUGAAAGCCCGGGGCUCAACCUCGGAACUGCAUUUGAAACUGGUGAACUAGAGUACUGUAGAGGGGGGUAGAAUUUCAGGUGUAGCGGUGAAAUGCGUAGAGAU
RNAcentral lists this ribosomal RNA (677 nucleotides) under bacterium s1cb69. RNAcentral's name for it is "bacterial SSU rRNA". It matches the Rfam family "Bacterial small subunit ribosomal RNA", at positions 41 to 697 of the family's 1533-position model. The record is from RNAcentral.